This is a long non-coding RNA of Apis cerana (Asiatic honeybee), 1229 nucleotides long. RefSeq lists it as uncharacterized. The record is from RefSeq and is a predicted model, not a curated record. NCBI's taxonomy places the organism in Eukaryota, Metazoa, Arthropoda, Insecta, Hymenoptera, Apidae.
AUUAAAUUCCUUCUUUAUAUUAUAAUCCUUAUUUAUAUUAUAAUGUUUCAUUCAAUUUAAUUAUUUUUUUAAAUUAAUAAUUAUAUUAAUAACUUUUGUUAUAUUUCUACGUCUUUACAGUCAACAACAAUUAAUAUAUAUUGUAUGAUAUUUCAAUUUUCCGCGCAAUUUUAGAAUGAAUAAGAAAGUGUGAUGCACCAGCCAAUCAGAACGUCGCUUAAUUCGAAACGCGAGACGAAUCAGUGCGCAUCAUAGUGCGCAUCGUAAUGCGCAUGGCGUCAGUCUACAGUUGAAAAUCGUGACAAGAGGACGAAUCAUCGCAAAUUCGGAUUACAUAGUUUAAUUGGUAACAUCAUGAUAGAUCUUCGAAGGCGGGAAAAAUUCCAAUAUGGCCACUAUGUGUUUGUUGAUGACGUGGUAAAAUUUUACAUUUCUCUGUUUCAGGUAUCCUCUUCACCCUUCAACGAAAUGGAUUACAUCUCAUCAUCAUCAUCAGAUAAAUAUUCUAAUUUUUAUAUUAGGUAGGGUAGGUUGUGAAAAACAUGGGAUUUAUAAACUGUGUUUUGUUCUUCUUUUUAUUAAAAAAGGCAAUUUCGCCUUUCCUACUCUGUUUCGUUUUCCAAACCAAUAGUUUUCCUAUUUUUCAAGGCAAUAUGAUCAUCCUGCCAUCCUUAACUUCCUCGUUAUAAGCAAAAACUUGAUAUUUGAUAGCUACGUGACUUUGUCCACUGCUAUCAUUGAUAUAUCUUGAUUUGCAUUUUCCUCUUGCCACGUGGUUUAUGUCGUAUCAUAAAUUUUUUGAAAAUUGUGUAUCAUCAGUGUGAAUGAUUAAUGUAGACAUGAAGAGAAUUUGUUAGACUUUCAAUAAGCAAAGUUAAAAACAAAAUGUUGAAUUAAUUUAUAUCGGUAGAAAAUACGAAAAUAAUUUUUAGAAUAAGUAAAAUAUUAAUUAUUGUUAUUGUUUUAAAUUUAUUUCAGGAUUUUUUGCAGAAGCAUUUUCUGAAGAUUGUAUAAUUGAUUCAAGAAAACGUAUUUAGAAUUAAGUGCAUGCACAACUAAGGAUAUUAAAAAAAAAAAGUAGUGUAUUGUUAAAAAGUAGAUAAAAUGUAAAUAAAUAAAUGGGUUAAAAUGGUGUAGUGCUUUUUGGGGAGCUUAUUUUGCUUAUUUUGAUUAUUUUGCUUACUUUUGUUUAUUUUGCUUAUUUUGCUUAUUUUGCUUAUUUUUGUUUA